RNAcentral lists this unclassified non-coding RNA (382 nucleotides) under uncultured Phycisphaeraceae bacterium. RNAcentral describes it as "contains 16S-23S intergenic spacer region". Lineage: Bacteria; Pseudomonadati; Planctomycetota; Phycisphaerae; Phycisphaerales; Phycisphaeraceae. The record is from RNAcentral.
UCCGGCUUGACGCCGGCAGUCUCGCUAGAGUACUGGCUUGCGCCGAGCAACUAGCGACAGGGGUUGCGCUCGUUAGAGGACUUAACCCGACACUUCACAGCACGAGCUGACGACAGCCAUGCAGCACCUGUGCACGUUCCGGUCUUGCGACUGUGGCUCUCCUUUCAGAGAGUUGAUCCGUACAUGUCAAACCCAGGUAAGGUUCUUCGCGUUGCCUCGAAUUAAGCAACAUGCUCCACCGCUUGUGUGAGCCCCCGUCAAUUCAUUUGAGUUUUAGCCUUGCGACCGUACUCCCCAGGCGGUACAUUUAUCGUUUUUACUACGACCGAUACGACGUCAAAAUCGCACCGGUCUAAUGUACAUCGUUUACAGCGUGGACUAC